This 73-nucleotide transfer RNA is filed under the name Bos taurus (domestic cattle). It matches the Rfam family "tRNA". From Rfam's summary of the family: Transfer RNA (tRNA) molecules are approximately 80 nucleotides in length. Their secondary structure includes four short double-helical elements and three loops (D, anti-codon, and T loops). Further hydrogen bonds mediate the characteristic L-shaped molecular structure. tRNAs have two regions of fundamental functional importance: the anti-codon, which is responsible for specific mRNA codon recognition, and the 3' end, to which the tRNAs corresponding amino acid is attached (by aminoacyl-tRNA synthetases). tRNAs cope with the degeneracy of the genetic code in two manners: having more than one tRNA (with a specific anti-codon) for a particular amino acid; and 'wobble' base-pairing, i.e. permitting non-standard base-pairing at the 3rd anti-codon position. RNAcentral also lists the same sequence under 5 other names. The record is from Rfam by way of RNAcentral. Lineage: Eukaryota; Metazoa; Chordata; Mammalia; Artiodactyla; Bovidae.
UCCCUGAUGGUCUAGUGGUUAAGACUGCAUGCUUCCAAUGCAGGGGGCUCAGGUUCAGUCCCUGGUCGGGGAA